This 547-nucleotide unclassified non-coding RNA is filed under the name Hevea brasiliensis (rubber tree). Lineage: Eukaryota; Viridiplantae; Streptophyta; Magnoliopsida; Malpighiales; Euphorbiaceae. The record is from RNAcentral.
CUGUGAGCCAAAGAAUAAAUCAGAAUUUUACAAUGACAUGUAAAGUUAUCACUUUCGACUUCACAGACUCAACCAAGGGCGCAACGUAUUCUAGUUAAAUUAAGGUGUUAUGAAUUUUAUUUAUUUUUCUAGGUUGAUUAUAUUCUGCUUGCUAAGUUUUAUACAUCUACUAAUUCUUGUGAUAAAGUUUUAGCUUUUAACAGCUCUGUGGUUCUUUUAAAUCAUGAUACGUUUUGUAUGGGCUACAUGUAUAUGUUUGGUGCCUAUCCCACAUUAUUGAUUAGGAGCUGGAUAUCUUUUAGUUUGAGAUGGUUUGCUAAUAUGUUCAAUUGUCCCUUUGUACGGCUCUUUAGUUCUGAUUCUACUCCAACUGUACACGUUUCAGUCAUGUUUGGUUUGUUCUAGAAAUGAAAAUGAAAUGUAAUUUAUGAAAUAAAAUUUUGUUUCCUAUUUAGUUAUUUUGGAAAUAAACUGGGAAUAGUAUUUUAAUUUUCAAAUCUUGACAUUAGUUUUCAAUACAAAAAUAUAAAUAAUAUCUACAUUAAGC